GGAGAGGUGACUGAGUGGUUGAAAGUACCGCUCUCGAAAAGCGGCAAGGGUGAAAGCCCUUCGGGAGUUCGAAUCUCCCCCUCUCCGCUA
Molecule: transfer RNA, 90 nt
Filed under: Candidatus Falkowbacteria bacterium HGW-Falkowbacteria-2
Lineage: Bacteria; Candidatus Falkowiibacteriota
Description: tRNA-Ser
Rfam family: tRNA
About the family: Transfer RNA (tRNA) molecules are approximately 80 nucleotides in length. Their secondary structure includes four short double-helical elements and three loops (D, anti-codon, and T loops). Further hydrogen bonds mediate the characteristic L-shaped molecular structure. tRNAs have two regions of fundamental functional importance: the anti-codon, which is responsible for specific mRNA codon recognition, and the 3' end, to which the tRNAs corresponding amino acid is attached (by aminoacyl-tRNA synthetases). tRNAs cope with the degeneracy of the genetic code in two manners: having more than one tRNA (with a specific anti-codon) for a particular amino acid; and 'wobble' base-pairing, i.e. permitting non-standard base-pairing at the 3rd anti-codon position.
Source: RNAcentral